This 649-nucleotide long non-coding RNA is filed under the name Felis catus (domestic cat). RNAcentral describes it as "lncRNA (ENSFCAG00000051570.1)". The record is from RNAcentral. Lineage: Eukaryota; Metazoa; Chordata; Mammalia; Carnivora; Felidae.
AUGAAGGCACAGGCAGUGCUAUCUGUCAUUCUCACCCUUGCACCACCUCUAAGUGGAUUUCACAUUAUAUUGCUUUUGUCUUCCUCAAAUCUUGAUAAUAUUGAGGAGAAGCAGAUUGCCAUUGGAGGACUUGGUGAAGAUGUAAUUCUCCCUUGCUUAUUUAAGAGUGCGCCUGAAGUAGUAGUUCAUUGGAAGAAUCAAGAGAGCUAUGUGCACUCAUACUACAAAGACCAUGACUGGAAAGGCAAGAUCACAGAUACACAAACAGGACAUCCCUCUUACAUAGUGAAAUGGAAAUGCCUCCUUAUCAUUUAGAAGAUUAAGCCUUCCGGAUGAAGGAAUUUACAUAUGCUAUGUGGGAACAGCAUCUAGAAACCUCAUAAACAAAGCGGUACUAAAGGUGGGAGGUAAGUAUGCAUGGAAGGUUUGAUAAAACAUAGAAAUAAUAUCAUUCCAUGUUUUUCUAAAAUAUCUCUUUCUUAAUUGAAUAUGGACUACCUUGCAAGUCAAUACAAAUCUACCUCAUGUUUUAAAUGCAUGGUAUCUCAUAGUAUAGACAUGUUAUAACUGAUACAUCCAUUCCUCUACUGGUAGAUAUUCCAGUGUUUUACAUGACAGGUGUUGUGAUGAGCAUUCUUGUAUUUAAUAG